RNAcentral lists this ribosomal RNA (408 nucleotides) under uncultured bacterium. Its description in RNAcentral is "bacterial SSU rRNA". It matches the Rfam family "Bacterial small subunit ribosomal RNA", at positions 355 to 776 of the family's 1533-position model. The record is from RNAcentral.
UCGAGAAUAUUCGACAAUGGGCGAAAGCCUGAUCGAGCGACGCCGCGUGGAGGAAGAAGCCCUUCGGGGUGUAAACUCCUUUUCUCCGGGAAGAACUACGGUGACUGUACCGGAGGAAGAAGAGGUUGCUAACUCUGUGCCAGCAGCAGCGGUAAUACAGAGACCUCGAGUGUUAUCCGGAUUUAUUGGGCGUAAAGGGUCCGUAGGCGGUAUGGCGCGUCCGUGGUGAAAGCCCUCGGCUCAACCGAGGAAGUGCUGCGGAUACGGCCAAACUAGAGAGUAUGAGGGGCUGAUGGAACUCAUGGUGGAGGGGUGAAAUCCGUUGAUAUCAUGGGGAACACCAAAGGCGAAGGCAUUCAGCUGGCGUAACUCUGACGCUGAGGGACGAAAGCGUGGGGCGCGAAUGGG